GACGAACGCUGGCGGCGUGCUUAACACAUGCAAGUCGAACGAAAAGGCCCUGCUUUUGUGGGGUGCUCGAGUGGCGAACGGGUGAGUAACACGUGAGUAACCUGCCCUUGACUUUGGGAUAACUUCAGGAAACUGGGGCUAAUACCGGAUAGGAGCUCCUGCUGCAUGGUGGGGGUUGGAAAGUUUCGGCAGUUGGGGAUGGACUCGCGGCUUAUCAGCUUGUUGGUGGGGUAGUGGCUUACCAAGGCUUUGACGGGUAGCCGGCCUGAGAGGGUGACCGGCCACAUUGGGACUGAGAUACGGCCCAGACUCCUACGGGAGGCAGCAGUGGGGAAUAUUGCACAAUGGGCGGAAGCCUGAUGCAGCAACGCCGCGUGCGGGAUGACGGCCUUCGGGUUGUAAACCGCUUUCGCCUGUGACGAAGCGUGAGUGACGGUAAUGGGUAAAGAAGCACCGGCUAACUACGUG
Molecule: ribosomal RNA, 468 nt
Filed under: uncultured bacterium
Lineage: Bacteria
Description: partial 16S ribosomal RNA
Rfam family: Bacterial small subunit ribosomal RNA
Source: RNAcentral